AUUGAACGCUGGCGGCAUGCCUUACACAUGCAAGUCGAACGGCAGCACGGGAGCAAUCCUGGUGGCGAGUGGCGAACGGGUGAGUAAUAUAUCGGAACGUGCCCAGUCGUGGGGGAUAACGUAGCGAAAGCUACGCUAAUACCGCAUACGAUCUAUGGAUGAAAGCGGGGGAUCGCAAGACCUCGCGCGAUUGGAGCGGCCGAUAUCAGAUUAGGUAGUUGGUGAGGUAAAGGCUCACCAAGCCGACGAUCUGUAGCUGGUCUGAGAGGACGACCAGCCACACUGGGACUGAGACACGGCCCAGACUCCUACGGAGGCAGCAGUGGGGAAUUUUGGACAAUGGGCGGCAAGCCUGAUCCAGCAAUGCCGCGUGCAGGAUGAAGG
This 384-nucleotide ribosomal RNA is filed under the name uncultured bacterium. RNAcentral describes it as "bacterial SSU rRNA". It matches the Rfam family "Bacterial small subunit ribosomal RNA", at positions 30 to 414 of the family's 1533-position model. The record is from RNAcentral.